This 269-nucleotide ribosomal RNA is filed under the name uncultured prokaryote. RNAcentral describes it as "partial 16S ribosomal RNA". It matches the Rfam family "Bacterial small subunit ribosomal RNA", at positions 524 to 792 of the family's 1533-position model. The record is from RNAcentral.
CACGUAGGAUUCGAACGUUAUCCGGAUUUACUGGGCGUAAAGCGCGUGCAGGCGGUUUGGUAAGUUGGAUGUGAAAGCUCCGGGCUCAACCCGGAGAGGUCGUUCAAUACUGCCAGACUAGAGGACGAUAGAGGGAGGUGGAAUUCCGGGUGUAGUGGUGAAAUGCGCAGAUAUCCGGAGGAACACCAGUGGCGAAGGCGGCCUCCUGGCUCGUUCCUGACGCUAAGACGCGAAAGCUAGGGUAGCAAACGGGAUUAGAUACCCCAGUA